GAUCCGUAACUUCGGCACAAGGAUUGGCUCUGAGAACUGGGUCCGUGGGGCUGGGGUCCAAAGCGGAUGUUGCACUGCACCGAAAGUGGGCGAGACUGGCCGUGAAAGCGGUCCGGUUUGGCCCGAAACCAGCGUCGGGGGCUUUCUCGUGGAAUGCCUCAGCUGCGCGGCGCACCAGGCACAAAGCUCGGAGCGACCGUUUCGGCGGGCAACUAACAGUGGAUUCAGAACUGGCGC
RNAcentral lists this non-coding RNA (237 nucleotides) under Stegodyphus mimosarum. The record is from Rfam by way of RNAcentral. Lineage: Eukaryota; Metazoa; Arthropoda; Arachnida; Araneae; Eresidae.